AUACUACAAAAACACAGCAAAUGUAUAGCUGCCCUUAAGGCACUUGAGUUUAGAUAAAGUUUAGGUUGUAGGCAAAACAGAAGUUCCUAGACAGGAAGCUUGAGAUUGUUACAUGGAGUUCUAUCAGAGAGAUUUUAAGCAAAGUCCAAAAGAAACUGGCACUCCCACAAUGCAGCUGGUACCUGUAGAGAUUUGGGCUCCACCAGUCUGCCACUCUUAGUGCUGCCAGCGCUCAUGGUGAUGGCCGUGGAUAAAGAUGACCGACGACUGCGAGCUGAUGAUGACCCAGUAUCAUACCUUUCCUCUGUGUGGUUUCCAGCUCUGUUCUGAGCUGUGUCUCUGAAGCUGGAAGCUCAGGUUUGGACUCUGAGCUCUGUGGGGAGUUGUCCAGCUGGUUGCC
This is a long non-coding RNA of Onychostoma macrolepis, 400 nucleotides long. RefSeq lists it as uncharacterized. The transcript is spliced from 3 exons. Lineage: Eukaryota; Metazoa; Chordata; Actinopteri; Cypriniformes; Cyprinidae. The record is from RefSeq and is a predicted model, not a curated record.